This 529-nucleotide ribosomal RNA is filed under the name uncultured bacterium. RNAcentral describes it as "bacterial SSU rRNA". It matches the Rfam family "Bacterial small subunit ribosomal RNA", at positions 777 to 1307 of the family's 1533-position model. The record is from RNAcentral.
AAUAGAUACCCGGGUAGUCCACGCCGUAAACGAUGUCGACUUGGAGGUUGUUCCCUUGAGGAGUGGCUUCCGGAGCUAACGCGUUAAGUCGACCGCCUGGGGAGUACGGCCGCAAGGUUAAAACUCAAAUGAAUUGACGGGGGCCCGCACAAGCGGUGGAGCAUGUGGUUUAAUUCGAUGCAACGCGAAGAACCUUACCUGGUCUUGACAUCCACAGAAUUUUGCAGAGAUGCGAAAGUGCCUUCGGGAACUGUGAGACAGGUGCUGCAUGGCUGUCGUCAGCUCGUGUUGUGAAUGUUGGGUUAAGUCCCGCAACGAGCGCAACCCUUAUCCUUUGUUGCCAGCGGUUAGGCCGGGAACUCAAAGGAGACUGCCAGUGAUAAACUGGAGGAAGGUGGGGAUGACGUCAAGUCAUCAUGGCCCUUACGACCAGGGCUACACACGUGCUACAAUGGCAUAUACAAAGAGAAGCGACCUCGCGAGAGCAAGCGGACCUCAUAAAGUAUGUCGUAGUCCGGAUUGGAGUCUG